GCCAUGCUGUCACAUGAUCAUGUAACUGUAAUAAGAACUACGGGUGAUAGAAUAUGCAUGAAAACAAUUGGUAACAAAUUGGUAACUGAGCAACAUCUAUGCUGUCAUGUAACAAUAAUGACGAGGUUCAGUCAGAGUCAAGAUGUCAUUGUGUUGUACUGUCAAAGAAAAAGGAUGUUCGCAUGGCAUUGCUACUGUGAAAAAAACUGCAUGCCAGCAACUCAAUAGUACUAAGAUAUACCUCUUCGCCA
Triticum aestivum (bread wheat) is the source of this 251-nucleotide long non-coding RNA. RefSeq lists it as uncharacterized. Lineage: Eukaryota; Viridiplantae; Streptophyta; Magnoliopsida; Poales; Poaceae. The record is from RefSeq and is a predicted model, not a curated record. The transcript is spliced from 2 exons.